Molecule: ribosomal RNA, 484 nt
Filed under: uncultured bacterium
Lineage: Bacteria
Description: partial 16S ribosomal RNA
Rfam family: Bacterial small subunit ribosomal RNA
Source: RNAcentral
AUUGAACGCUGGCGGCAGGCCUAACACAUGCAAGUCGAGCGGAUGAAGGGAGCUUGCUCCUGGAUUCAGCGGCGGACGGGUGAGUAAUGCCUAGGAAUCUGCCUGGUAGUGGGGGAUAACGUCCGGAAACGGGCGCUAAUACCGCAUACGUCCUGAGGGAGAAAGUGGGGGAGCUUCGGACCUCACGCUAUCAGAUGAGCCUAGGUCGGAUUAGCUAGUUGGUGGGGUAAAGGCCUACCAAGGCGACGAUCCGUAACUGGUCUGAGAGGAUGAUCAGUCACACUGGAACUGAGACACGGUCCAGACUCCUACGGGAGGCAGCAGUGGGGAAUAUUGGACAAUGGGCGAAAGCCUGAUACAGCCAUGCCGCGUGUGUGAAGAAGGUCUUCGGAUUGUAAAGCGCUUUAAGUUGGGAGGAAGGGCAGUAAGUUAAUACCUUGCUGUUUUGACGUUACCAACAGAAUAAGCACCGGCUAACUUCGUG